This 75-nucleotide transfer RNA is filed under the name Rhodoferax saidenbachensis. Its description in RNAcentral is "tRNA-Pro". It matches the Rfam family "tRNA". Rfam says of the family: Transfer RNA (tRNA) molecules are approximately 80 nucleotides in length. Their secondary structure includes four short double-helical elements and three loops (D, anti-codon, and T loops). Lineage: Bacteria; Pseudomonadati; Pseudomonadota; Betaproteobacteria; Burkholderiales; Comamonadaceae. The record is from RNAcentral.
CCGUGAUUAGGCAAGUGGCAUGUCGCCUGCUUUGGGAGCAGGACGUCGGGUGUUCGAUUCACCCAUCACGGACCA